UACAGAGGAUGCAAGCGUUAUCCGGAAUGAUUGGGCGUAAAGCGUCUGUAGGUGGCUUUUUAAGUCCGCCGUCAAAUCCCAGGGCUCAACUCUGGACAGGCGGUUGAAACUACCAAGCUGGAGUACGGUAGGGGCAGAGGGAAUUUCCGGUGGAGCGGUGAAAUGCGCAGAUAUCAGGAGGAACACCAAUUGCGAAGGCAGCUCGCUGGGACGUUACUGACGCUGAGACGCGAAAGCGUGGGGAGCAAACAGG
This 253-nucleotide ribosomal RNA is filed under the name uncultured bacterium. RNAcentral's name for it is "partial 16S ribosomal RNA". It matches the Rfam family "Bacterial small subunit ribosomal RNA", at positions 524 to 776 of the family's 1533-position model. The record is from RNAcentral.